Long non-coding RNA from Canis lupus familiaris (dog), 1673 nucleotides. RefSeq lists it as uncharacterized. The record is from RefSeq and is a predicted model, not a curated record. The transcript has 5 exons. Lineage: Eukaryota; Metazoa; Chordata; Mammalia; Carnivora; Canidae.
GGGCAGCUCGCAGUGUCGUCGCCGCGCUGCCAUGUCCGACGCGGCACCACCCGAGACUGGUGUGGAGGGAGGGGCGCUGAAGAUUUUGGUCAGGCGUUUUUGCGGGGUGGAGCCGUUGGAUUACCCCAGCCUUCCCAGGUGAAUGGGAGCUCUUCUGCCCAAUGACGUGGCAGGUCAUUUUCCCUCAGGUCCGCAGCAGGGGCAUCUCAGAGAUCAUCUCAAGUAAUGGGGACUGACUUCUGUGAUGAGUGAAAGAAUCCAGAGAGAAAAUUGGGACUCAGAAUUAAGAAGACUUCAGUAUGUUCAUUUCAUGAAAGGACUUCAAAGUUUGCAUUAUGCUUUGUGUGUGUGUGUGUGUGUUGUAUCCAAAUGAAAGAAAACUAGGCAGAGACACAGGCAGAGGGAGAAGCAGGCUCCCCAUGGAGAGCCUGAUGCAGGACUUGAUCUUAGGACCCUGGGAUCACUCCCUGAGCCAAAGGCAGACGCUUAACCACUGAGCCACCCAGGUGCUCCUCAACACCCAUUUUCUUUUUAUAGUUGUUUUGUUAAUAGCAAGAGGAGGGAAGAGUCUUCUGCCCUGGGCACUUUUUGUUACAGGGAAGAGAAAUCUACUUAAGUUGGUUCAUUCAAGUAGCUUGAAUGGUUGAGGGAUAUUGGCUUUAAAAAUACAAACAAGCUUCAUGAAGUCCAAAUAUCACCAGGCCCCCAGAAGAGGCAGUUUGGGAUAGUGAGACUCAGGCUAUUUUCUGUCUCUUGGGGGUUCUGCAGUGGUUUACCUUAUGCCACUGCAUAUACCCAAGGUAGCACCCAAUGUUAACUUUGUACUAUUUAGUGUGACUUCUCAAUUCAAGUACUUUCCCUCUGACUUAGUCCCCCAUUAUCCUAAUUCUAAAUUCCUGACUCAUAAAUUUGAUUAGUUUCAUUUAUCUGUUUCAAGCUUGGAGUUGGUUAUCAUGGGGAUGAACUAGUGAUUCAAUAUAGAAAGAUACUUUAUGUGAAUUAUUCAGAAAAUGAUACAAACUGUGGUAAACCAACUAAGCACUGAAUUAGGAGCUAAGAAACCUGGUUCUAUUGCUCAUUAUGUCUCUGCUUAGUUGUAAAGCCUUCUACAAAAGAAGAAAUCAAAAUAUGAAUUGUUUCCUAAGGUUCCUCUUGCUCUAAAAUUCUAUAAAUCUUCAUUUCAUAAUCUGUUUAUAACAUGUUAGAAUUCCUGAAGUUAUCAAUCAUUUUACAUUGAAUAUGUUGUACCUAGAUUGAUUCCAUAUAGCUUCAGGAACCUUAAAUAUGUUUUGCACAUCUCGCUGUGGAGUUGUUUACUUCUGGGAAUGUUUUUGGUAGACAAUUUAUGAUCUUUGAAUUUUUAUUUUAUAGCUGACAUGGAAGAUUCUAAAAAAAUAGAGAUACCUCUGGAUGAGGUUGCAAUUGAUCAAGAUAUACAGGAGGAGUCUAUUAGAAUGUUUGUUGUUAUUUUGUUAAUGAAUACAUAAGCUCCCCACACAAGUCCACUUAGCAGUGACUUUCAAUGUCAAUUGAAUUGGGGGAAGGACAGUUUUCCCUUAAUGAAAAAAAUCAGCUUUGCAGAGGUACAAUGACCUGCCUCGAUGAAGAAAGACUACCUGGAUGCCUACAACAGAACCCAGUUUUGCACAAUAACCCCAGGCUGCAGUGUGAGG